UUGAACGCUGGCGGCAGGCCUAACACAUGCAAGUCGAGCGGAUGAAGGGAGCUUGCUCCUGGAUUCAGCGGCGGACGGGUGAGUAAUGCCUAGGAAUCUGCCUGGUAGUGGGGGAUAACGUCCGGAAACGGGCGCUAAUACCGCAUACGUCCUGAGGGAGAAAGUGGGGGAUCUUCGGACCUCACGCUAUCAGAUGAGCCUAGGUCGGAUUAGCUAGUUGGUGGGGUAAAGGCCUACCAAGGCGACGAUCCGUAACUGGUCUGAGAGGAUGAUCAGUCACACUGGAACUGAGACACGGUCCAGACUCCUACGGGAGGCAGCAGUGGGGAAUAUUGGACAAUGGGCGAAAGCCUGAUCCAGCCAUGCCGCGUGUGUGAAGAAGGUCUUCGGAUUGUAAAGCACUUUAAGUUGGGAGGAAGGGCAGUAAGUUAAUACCUUGCUGUUUUCACGUUACCAACAGAAUAAGCACCGGCUAACUUCGUG
Molecule: ribosomal RNA, 483 nt
Filed under: uncultured bacterium
Lineage: Bacteria
Description: partial 16S ribosomal RNA
Rfam family: Bacterial small subunit ribosomal RNA
Source: RNAcentral